AUAUUCGAGGUCUGCACCGCUACUUAACAGUUGUCCUUCGGGACUAUGGAUAUAAACGCGCUCGUAAUAAGCGGUUCGGACCCGGGGGCGGUACCCGGCGACUCCACCAAUCAUCCGUCAUUUGCGGAUCAUGGGGUCGAAACAGGAUCGACGAACGUCUAAAGGGGUUAGCUUUAUCUCGGCUGUCUGCCACCGAUAUCGGCGAAACUUGUACAAUUGCAAAUGACAAUCGUGCUCCAAUGGCGAUGGCCGCGUAAGCGACCGGAACUAUUGAAACCUUAAGUCCUUGCGUUUAGCGACCCAAGGCGGGGCCCGCCGGAGCCUGGCAACAGAAU
This 335-nucleotide transfer-messenger RNA is filed under the name uncultured Sulfitobacter sp. RNAcentral's name for it is "Alphaproteobacteria transfer-messenger RNA". It matches the Rfam family "Alphaproteobacteria transfer-messenger RNA", at positions 40 to 346 of the family's 355-position model. From Rfam's summary of the family: Bacterial tmRNA, also known as 10Sa RNA or SsrA, is named for its dual tRNA and mRNA-like properties. The record is from RNAcentral. Lineage: Bacteria; Pseudomonadati; Pseudomonadota; Alphaproteobacteria; Rhodobacterales; Roseobacteraceae.